This 253-nucleotide ribosomal RNA is filed under the name uncultured bacterium. RNAcentral's name for it is "partial 16S ribosomal RNA". It matches the Rfam family "Bacterial small subunit ribosomal RNA", at positions 524 to 776 of the family's 1533-position model. The record is from RNAcentral.
UACAGAGGGUGCGAGCGUUGAUCGGAAUUACUGGGCGUAAAGCGCGCGUAGGCGGUUUUGCAAGUCGGGUGUGAAAUCCCCAGGCUUAACCUGGGAACUGCAUUCGAGACUGCAGUGCUAGAGUAUGGGAGAGGGAAGUGGAAUUUCCGGUGUAGCGGUGAAAUGCGUAGAUAUCGGAAGGAACAUCAGUGGCGAAAGCGACGUCCUGGACCAAUACUGACGCUCAUGUGCGAAAGCGUGGGGAGCAAACAGG